GACGAACGCUGGCGGCGCGCCUAAUACAUGCAAGUAGAACGCACAGUUUAUACCGUAGCUUGCUACACCAUAGACUGUGAGUUGCGAACGGGUGAGUAACGCGUAGGUAACCUGCCUGGUAGCGGGGGAUAACUAUUGGAAACGAUAGCUAAUACCGCAUAAUAUUAAUUAUUGCAUGAUAAUUAAUUGAAAGGUGCAAUUGCACCACUACCAGAUGGACCUGCGUUGUAUUAGCUAGUAGGUGAGGUAACGGCUCACCUAGGCGACGAUACAUAGCCGACCUGAGAGUGUGAUCGGCCACACGGGGACGGGGACACGGCCCAGACUCCUGCGGGAGGCAGCAGUAGGGAAUCUUCGGCAAUGGACGAAGGUCUGACCGGACAACGCCGCGUGAGUGAAGAAGGUUUUCGGAUCGUAAAGCUCUGUUGUAAGAGAAGAACGGGUGUGAGAGUGGAAAGUUCACACUGUGACGGUAUCUUACCAGAAAGAGACGGCUAACUACGUG
RNAcentral lists this ribosomal RNA (505 nucleotides) under uncultured bacterium. Its description in RNAcentral is "partial 16S ribosomal RNA". It matches the Rfam family "Bacterial small subunit ribosomal RNA", at positions 28 to 507 of the family's 1533-position model. The record is from RNAcentral.